Parelaphostrongylus tenuis is the source of this 71-nucleotide non-coding RNA. Lineage: Eukaryota; Metazoa; Nematoda; Chromadorea; Rhabditida; Metastrongylidae. The record is from the annotation of a GenBank genome assembly.
GCCUCAGUGGUGCAGUGGUAACACGCCCCCUCAGUAUGGGUGAACACGAGUUCAACUCCCGCCUGCGAUCA